Molecule: long non-coding RNA, 371 nt
Filed under: Sorghum bicolor (sorghum)
Lineage: Eukaryota; Viridiplantae; Streptophyta; Magnoliopsida; Poales; Poaceae
Description: long non-coding RNA (SBIC_LNC017247)
Source: RNAcentral
AGACUCCAGAAGCCACGGGAAGGAAGCAGAGGCCGAAAGGGGCUAGGCCCAGGGCGCCCGCCCUCUUUUCCUGGGCGCCCGCCCUGUCCUAGACUCCGUUCGGGACUCUCUUCGCACACGAUGUUCCACCGACCUAAAGGAUCAAGAAAAACAUAGUACCACAUCGCCUACCGACCCAAAAACGCAUAGAGGAGGAGGACUAUAUAAGGAGACCCCCUGGCCCCUGGAGGAGACAAGAAGUUAUCAUAGAGAUUGAGGGGUGCCCUCGAAGGAAAACCUCGUCUCUAAAUAAUAUUUCUUUUUAGGCUUAGCAACCAAUGUAAGUAGAAAUAGAUCUUCUAGUUUCUACUAUAUUGAGAGAGAUAGAGUGG